CUAUAUCGGUGUAUGAUAUAGUAGGGAUCAUUUCCCGUUGUUUUGAGCAGUAUAGGUAUUAGUAGAGUGUGUUAAUACUGUGAUUGAAUUAUUUGGCAUGACAUGAUAUGAGUAUGUGAUAAAUAUGCCGAUGAUGUGUGAAAAUAUGCAUAAUGUUGUGAAUGUAUAUAUUAUGCAUGUAUUUGUGAAUGGACUGUUUUAUGGCUUAGAGUGUGAGCAUAUGUCC
RNAcentral lists this long non-coding RNA (226 nucleotides) under Lathyrus oleraceus (garden pea). RNAcentral describes it as "Pisum sativum (pea) long non-coding RNA (PSAT_LNC036269)". The record is from RNAcentral. Lineage: Eukaryota; Viridiplantae; Streptophyta; Magnoliopsida; Fabales; Fabaceae.